Molecule: ribosomal RNA, 484 nt
Filed under: uncultured bacterium
Lineage: Bacteria
Description: partial 16S ribosomal RNA
Rfam family: Bacterial small subunit ribosomal RNA
Source: RNAcentral
AUUGAACGCUGGCGGCAGGCCUAACACAUGCAAGUCGAGCGGAUGAAGGGAGCUUGCUCCUGGAUUCAGCGGCGGACGGGUGAGUAAUGCCUAGGAAUCUGCCUGGUAGUGGGGGAUAACGUCCGGAAACGGGCGCUAAUACCGCAUACGUCCUGAGGGAGAAAGUGGGGGAUCUUCGGACCUCACGCUAUCAGAUGAGCCUAGGUCGGAUUAGCUAAUUGGUGGGGUAAAGGCCUACCAAGGCGACGAUCCGUAACUGGUCUGAGAGGAUGAUCAGUCACACUGGAACUGAGACACGGUCCAGACUCCUACGGGAGGCAGCAGUGGGGAAUAUUGGACAAUGGGCGAAAGCCUGAUCCAGCCAUGCCGCGUGUGUGGAGAAGGUCUUCGGAUUGUAAAGCACUUUAAGUUGGGAGGAAGGGCAGUAAGUUAAUACCUUGCUGUUUUGACGUUACCAACAGAAUAAGCACCGGCUAACUUCGUG